Molecule: unclassified non-coding RNA, 364 nt
Filed under: uncultured Russula
Lineage: Eukaryota; Fungi; Basidiomycota; Agaricomycetes; Russulales; Russulaceae
Description: sequence contains ITS2
Source: RNAcentral
AACGCACCUUGCGCCCCUUGGCAUUCCGAGGGGCACACCCGUUUGAGUGUCGUGAAAUCAUCAAAACCUUCUCUUUGACCCUCUUUGGUCGGGAAAAGGAUUUUUGGACUUGGAGGUUCCAUGCUCGCCUUCGCUUUUGAAAGCGAGCUCCUCUCAAAUGAAUUAGUGGGGUCCGCUUUGCUGGUCCUUGACGUGAUAAGAUGUUUCUACGUUUUGGAUUUAGCACUGUCCCUUGGAUGCCUGCUCCUAACCGUCUCACGGACAAUGAUGGUGCUCUGGUCACUGCCAUCUACAUUGGCGGGAGGCUGGACCCACAAAAGAAAACCUUGACCUCAAAUCGGGUGAGACUACCCGCUGAACUUAA